CCCAUUGACACAUUUUUUUUCAUUGUGUUGAUGGUCUUUACCAUUUGGUAUGUUUUUGGAGUGGCUGGUACUUGCAGUUUCAUAUGAUUAAACCUAAUACAGAAAUCAGUCACAUUCCUGUCUACCAGCAGUAAUCAUUUAGUAAAUGCAUACUUUUUUAAAGGUCCUAUUCACAGUAGCCACAAAAAAAGUAUCCAGGAAAUAGCUAAAUAAGAAAUGUAUAUCUUGGGGAGGAACAUAAUCAAAAGACCUGAAUAAACAGAGAGAUACCAUGUUCAUGGAUGGGAAGGCUCCAUAUCAUAAAGAGGUAAUUUUCCCUAAAUAAGUUUAUAAAUUUGAUAAAUGCUAAUAAAAAUUUCAAAUGAUUAAGGGUGAGUCAAAUAGGCCAAUAGAAGAGACUAGGGGGAAAAAUCCAGAUAUAUUGACAACCUAAGUGUAAACUUCAAAACUUUUACAAGAAACUGUUGGCAAAUAUCUUCAUUGCCUUAGCAUAAGAAAAGAUUUCAUAAACAAAAGAUGAAAUUAUAAGAUGCAUCAUAUGGCUGCCUGCCAUGCCAUUUCUAGAGCUGGACAUGAAUUUGCUUGCAAACUGAGUGCCCAUGGGGCUGGAGAAAUGGCUCUGCAAUGCCACUGCCUCCAUCCUGGGCAAACCUGCGGACCACAUGAACGUGACUGUCUGGCUGGGCCUGGCCCUGGCGCUGAGUGGGUUUCACUGAGCCCUGUGCACAGCCGUCCAUCUCCUCCAUUGGCAUAGUGGGCGCCUCCGAGGACCACCGCAACCACAGCGCCCACUUCUUUGAGUUUCUCACCAAGGGGCUAGCUCCAGAGCAGGACAGGAUAAUUAUCUGCUUUUUACCCCUGGAGCCCUGGCAGAUUGGCAAGAAAGGGACAGUCAUGACAUUUUUAUGAUUGGCACAGAGGGAUCCAGGGCAUCUGUGAGCUGGCUACCUCUUCCAGGAAUACCUCUUUGCAGAGUGAGGGCCUGGUGAUACCAGCUUCAGAUAAUCCUGCAUGCAACAUUCCUGUGAUCACAUAAUCCUCUUCUUCAUCCUCAUACAAAAUAAAUGAAGAGAGCUUCCUCAUUCAAAAAAAAAAAAAAAA
RNA transcript from Sapajus apella (tufted capuchin), 1101 nucleotides. It is a transcript of the gene named D-dopachrome decarboxylase pseudogene, with no coding region annotated. The record is from RefSeq and is a predicted model, not a curated record. Lineage: Eukaryota; Metazoa; Chordata; Mammalia; Primates; Cebidae. The transcript has a single exon.